GACCUCAAAUCAGGUAGGGCUACCCGCUGAACUUAAGCAUAUCAAUAAGCGGAGGAAAAGAAACUAACAAGGAUUCCCCUAGUAGCGGCGAGCGAACCGGGAUGAGCUCAAAUUUGUAAUCUGGCGUCCUCCGGGCGUCCGAGUUGUAAUCUAUAGAAGCGUUUUCCGUACCGGACCGUGUCCAAGUCCCUUGGAACAGGGUAUCAAAGAGGGUGACAAUCCCGUACUUGACACGACGACCGGUGCAUUGUGAUACGUUUUCUACGAGUCGAGUUGUUUGGGAAUGCAGCUCA
Molecule: ribosomal RNA, 293 nt
Filed under: Tremella tubulosae
Lineage: Eukaryota; Fungi; Basidiomycota; Tremellomycetes; Tremellales; Tremellaceae
Description: partial large subunit ribosomal RNA
Rfam family: Eukaryotic large subunit ribosomal RNA
Source: RNAcentral